GAUGAACGCUGGCGGCGUGCCUAAUACAUGCAAGUCGAGCGAACAGACGAGGAGCUUGCUCCUCUGACGUUAGCGGCGGACGGGUGAGUAACACGUGGAUAACCUACCUAUAAGACUGGGAUAACUUCGGGAAACCGGAGCUAAUACCGGAUAAUAUAUUGAACCGCAUGGUUCAAUAGUGAAAGACGGUUUUGCUGUCACUUAUAGAUGGAUCCGCGCCGCAUUAGCUAGUUGGUAAGGUAACGGCUUACCAAGGCAACGAUGCGUAGCCGACCUGAGAGGGUGAUCGGCCACACUGGAACUGAGACACGGUCCAGACUCCUACGGGAGGCAGCAGUAGGGAAGCUUCCGCAAUGGGCGAAAGCUUGACGGAGCAACGCCGCGUGGGUGAUGAAGGUCUUCGGAUCGUAAAACUCUGUUAUUAGGGAAGAACAAAUGUGUAAGUAACUAUGCACGUCUUGACGGUACCUAAUCAGAAAGCCACGGCUAACUACGUG
Molecule: ribosomal RNA, 497 nt
Filed under: uncultured bacterium
Lineage: Bacteria
Description: partial 16S ribosomal RNA
Rfam family: Bacterial small subunit ribosomal RNA
Source: RNAcentral